AUGCUCCAUGAGAUGAUCGGAAGUGGAACACCUGUGAGCAUGCAUACAUACGACAUAUUUCUUAGAGGACUUUGUAGAAAUGAUUGCACCGAUGAAGCAAUCGCCCUGUUCCAAAACUUAGGUGCACUAAAUGUGAAGUUCAAUAUUAUAAUACUCAAUACCAUGAUUAAUGCAAUGUACAAGGUUCAGAGAAGAGAAGAAGCUAACAAGUUGUUUGCUGCUAUAUCAACCAGUGGUUUGGUACCCAAUGCUUCCACGUAUGGAAUAAUGAUAAAAAAAUCUUCUAAAAGAAGGAUCAGUGGAAGAAGCUGA
This 312-nucleotide ribosomal RNA is filed under the name Triticum aestivum (bread wheat). RNAcentral's name for it is "partial small subunit ribosomal RNA". Lineage: Eukaryota; Viridiplantae; Streptophyta; Magnoliopsida; Poales; Poaceae. The record is from RNAcentral.